GCACAGAGUACCUAUGUUCCUUCACUCCAACAACUCUUGAAUUGUAUGGGAUUGUGCUACAUGUUGCACAUUGUAUUUAAUUCCUUUUAUAUUUCUAGGUUCAUGCAGUUGGAUAAAGUAGCUAUGAUGGACAUUUUGAUUUUUAAUGGGCAGCCUUUUAAUCUGACAAGGAAUUUGAUUUUUUUUUUUUAAUAAGAUGGUAAUAUAAAUGCAUCUAAAAAUAUCAGAAAACAAAACAUCAUAGAAGGCAGCUGGUUGCUAACCGUUAGUUUUUUCGUUUCAAAGUUUUGCUGCGGUGGAGCCUUUUUAGGUUCGUUGUUUUCUAUUUUUUGGUUUACAUGGAUAUGGUCGCUAGCAUGCCUCUGCAUGGUAUGUGUCAUUACAUCUGAAUGAUCUUGUGUAACCUUCAUAAUGAUCUUGGGCAAUUGUUGCCAUCAUAUAUCAGCAAGCAGAAAUCUUAUUGCUACAUCACCAAUGAUCAUUUGGUGUGACCAAUUCGACGUAAAAAGAUUGUUCAACCACAUAUGAAGAAAGCAAGCAAAACUGAGAUGGAAGUCACAAGGGGAUACAAACAUGCUUGCUUAUGAACAAGGACAUGACCUUGGAUUAGUAUGAAAGUCAAUUCAGGGCUAAUAUAGCUGA
Molecule: long non-coding RNA, 642 nt
Filed under: Elaeis guineensis (African oil palm)
Lineage: Eukaryota; Viridiplantae; Streptophyta; Magnoliopsida; Arecales; Arecaceae
Description: long non-coding RNA (EGUI_LNC026670)
Source: RNAcentral